RNAcentral lists this ribosomal RNA (254 nucleotides) under uncultured bacterium. RNAcentral's name for it is "partial 16S ribosomal RNA". It matches the Rfam family "Bacterial small subunit ribosomal RNA", at positions 1247 to 1500 of the family's 1533-position model. The record is from RNAcentral.
AAGCGAAAUAGUGAUAUAGAGCAAAACCCUAAAAAACGGUACUCAGUUCGGAUUGAAGGCUGAAAUUCGCCUUCAUGAAGCUGGAAUUGCUAGUAAUGGCAGGUCAGCAUACUGCCGUGAAUACGUUCCCGGGCCUUGUACACACCGCCCGUCACACCAUGAGAGUUGGGAAUACCCGAAGCCUGUGAGCUAACUUUUAGAGGCAGCAGUCGAAGGUAGAAUCAAUGAUUGGGGUGAAGUCGUAACAAGGUAAC